AUUGAACGCUGGCGGCAGGCCUAACACAUGCAAGUCGAGCGAGCGGCGGACGGGUGAGUAAUGUAUGGGGACUGCCCGAUAGAGGGGGGUAACUCCUGGAAACGGUAGCUAAUACCGCAUACUAUCGGAUGACCCAUAUGGGAUUAGAUAGUAGGGGGGGUAAUGGCUCACCUAAGCGACGAUCCCUAGCUGGUCUGAGAGGAUGAUCAGGCACACGGGGACGGAGACACGGCGCAGACUCCUACGGAGUCAGGAGUGGGGAAUAUUGCACAAUGGGAGCAAGCCUGAUGGAGCCAUGCCGCGUGUAUGAAGAAGGCCUUAGGGUUGUAAAGUAGUUUCAGUCGGGAGGCGUUACCGACAGAAGAAGCACCGGCUAACUCCGUGCCAGCAGCCGCGGUAAUUC
Molecule: ribosomal RNA, 403 nt
Filed under: uncultured bacterium
Lineage: Bacteria
Description: partial 16S ribosomal RNA
Rfam family: Bacterial small subunit ribosomal RNA
Source: RNAcentral